GACGAACGCUGGCGGCGUGCCUAAUACAUGCAAGUCGAGCGCAAUCUUGAGGAGCUUGCUCCUUAAGGUUAGCGGCGGACGGGUGAGUAACACGUGGGCAACCUGCCUGUAAGACUGGGAUAACACCGGGAAACCGGUGCUAAUACCGGAUAAUUCUUCACUUCUCAUGAGGUGAAGCUGAAAGUCGGUUUCGGCUGACACUUACAGAUGGGCCCGCGGCGCAUUAGCUAGUUGGUGAGGUAAUGGCUCACCAAGGCGACGAUGCGUAGCCGACCUGAGAGGGUGAUCGGCCACACUGGGACUGAGACACGGCUCAGACUCCUACGGGAGGCAGCAGUAGAGAAUCUUCCGCAAUGGACGAAAGUCUGACGGAGCAACGCCGCGUGAGUGAUGAAGGCCUUCGGGUCGUAAAACUCUGUUGUUAGGGAAGAACAAGUACCGGAGUAACUGCCGGUACCUUGACGGUACCUAACCAGAAAGCCACGGCUAACUACGUGCCAGCAGCCGCGGUAAUACGUAGGUGGCAAGCGUUGUCCGGAAUUAUUGGGCGUAAAGCGCGCGCAGGCGGUCCUUUAAGUCUGAUGUGAAAGCCCACGGCUCAACCGUGGAGGGUCAUUGGAAACUGGGGGACUUGAGUGCAGAAGAGGAAAGCGGAAUUCCACGUGUAGCGGUGAAAUGCGUAGAGAUGUGGAGGAACACCAGUGGCGAA
This 709-nucleotide ribosomal RNA is filed under the name uncultured bacterium. RNAcentral's name for it is "bacterial SSU rRNA". It matches the Rfam family "Bacterial small subunit ribosomal RNA", at positions 28 to 719 of the family's 1533-position model. The record is from RNAcentral.